Molecule: ribosomal RNA, 253 nt
Filed under: uncultured bacterium
Lineage: Bacteria
Description: partial 16S ribosomal RNA
Rfam family: Bacterial small subunit ribosomal RNA
Source: RNAcentral
UACGUAGGGGGCAAGCGUUGUCCGGAUUUAUUGGGCGUAAAGAGCGUGUAGGCGGCCAGACAGGUCCGUUGUGAGAACUCGAGGCUCAACCUCGAGACGCCGAUGGAAACCGUCUGGCUAGAGUCCGGAAGAGGAGAGUGGAAUUCCUGGUGUAGCGGUGAAAUGCGCAGAUAUCAGGAAGAACACCCGUGGCUAAGGCGGCUCUCUAGUACGGUACUGACGCUGAGACGCGAAAGCGUGGGGAGCGAACAGG